Molecule: ribosomal RNA, 169 nt
Filed under: Megadenia pygmaea
Lineage: Eukaryota; Viridiplantae; Streptophyta; Magnoliopsida; Brassicales; Brassicaceae
Description: 5.8S ribosomal RNA
Rfam family: 5.8S ribosomal RNA
About the family: 5.8S ribosomal RNA (5.8S rRNA) is a component of the large subunit of the eukaryotic ribosome. It is transcribed by RNA polymerase I as part of the 45S precursor that also contains 18S and 28S rRNA.
Source: RNAcentral
AAGUCUAAAACGACUCUCGGCAACGGAUAUCUCGGCUCUCGCAUCGAUGAAGAACGUAGCGAAAUGCGAUACUUGGUGUGAAUUGCAGAAUCCCGUGAACCAUCGAGUCUUUGAACGCAAGUUGCGCCCCAAGCCUUCUGGCCGAGGGCACGUCUGCCUGGGUGUCACU